CAUGGCUCAGGACGAACGCUGGCGGCGUGCCUAAUACAUGCAAGUCGAACGCUUCUUUCCUCCCGAGUGCUUGCACUCAAUUGGAAAGAGGAGUGGCGGACGGGUGAGUAACACGUGGGUAACCUACCCAUCAGAGGGGGAUAACACUUGGAAACAGGUGCUAAUACCGCAUAACAGUUUAUGCCGCAUGGCAUAAGAGUGAAAGGCGCUUUCGGGUGUCGCUGAUGGAUGGACCCGCGGUGCAUUAACUAGUUGGUGAGGUAACGGCUCACCAAGGCCACGAUGCAUAGCCGACCUGAGAGGGUGAUCGGCCACACUGGGACUGAGACACGGCCCAGACUCCUACGGGAGGCAGCAGUAGGGAAUCUUCGGCAAUGGACGAAAGUCUGACCGAGCAACGCCGCGUGAGUGAAGAAGGUUUUCGGAUCGUAAAACUCUGUUGUUAGAGAAGAACAAGGACGUUAGUAACUGAACGUCCCCUGACGGUAUCUAACCAGAAAGCCACGGCUAACUACGUGCCAGCAGCCGCGGUAAUACGUAGGGUGCAAGCGUUAAUCGGAAUUACUGGGCGUAAAGCGCACGCAGGCGGUUUCUUAAGUCUGAUGUGAAAGCCCCCGGCUCAACCGGGGAGGGUCAUUGGAAACUGGGAGACUUGAGUGCAGAAGAGGAGAGUGGAACUCCAUGUGUAGCGGUGAAAUGCGUAGAUAUAUGGAGGAACAUCAGUGGCGAAGGCGGCUCUCUGGUCUGUAACUGACGCUGAGGCUCGAAAGCGUGGGGAGCAA
This 782-nucleotide ribosomal RNA is filed under the name uncultured Enterococcus sp. RNAcentral describes it as "bacterial SSU rRNA". It matches the Rfam family "Bacterial small subunit ribosomal RNA", at positions 18 to 771 of the family's 1533-position model. The record is from RNAcentral. Lineage: Bacteria; Bacillati; Bacillota; Bacilli; Lactobacillales; Enterococcaceae.